Molecule: ribosomal RNA, 253 nt
Filed under: uncultured bacterium
Lineage: Bacteria
Description: partial 16S ribosomal RNA
Rfam family: Bacterial small subunit ribosomal RNA
Source: RNAcentral
UACAGAGGGGGCGAGCGUUAUUCGGAAUUAUUGGGCGUAAAGGGCGCGUAGGCGGCCUUUCAAGUGACGGGUGAAAUCCCUCGGCUUAACCGAGGAACUGCCUGUCAGACUGGAAGGCUUGAGACCGGGAGAGGUGAGUGGAAUUCCCAGUGUAGCGGUGAAAUGCGUAGAUAUUGGGAGGAACACCAGUGGCGAAGGCGGCUCACUGGACCGGCAUUGACGCUGAGGCGCGAAAGCUAGGGGAGCAAACGGG